This 78-nucleotide microRNA precursor is filed under the name Schistosoma margrebowiei. RNAcentral describes it as "mir-3492 microRNA precursor family". It matches the Rfam family "mir-3492 microRNA precursor family". Lineage: Eukaryota; Metazoa; Platyhelminthes; Trematoda; Strigeidida; Schistosomatidae. The record is from Rfam by way of RNAcentral.
AGUCUUCUGUAUCCAUGCUGGGAUUUCGUCACACUCCAGACCGCAAGGACUGAUGAGACUCCCUAGAUAAGUGAAGCU